Molecule: ribosomal RNA, 460 nt
Filed under: uncultured bacterium
Lineage: Bacteria
Description: partial 16S ribosomal RNA
Rfam family: Bacterial small subunit ribosomal RNA
Source: RNAcentral
CCUACGGGGGGCAGCAGUGAGGAAUAUUGGUCAAUGGCCGGAAGGCUGAACCAGCCAAGCCGCGUGAAGGACGACGGUGCCAAGCAUUGUAAACUUCUUUUGUCAAGGGACAAAAUCAGGCUCGAGAGCCUGACCGAGGGUACUUGAAGAAAAAGCAUCGGCUAACUCCGUGCCAGCAGCCGCGGUAAUACGGAGGGUGCGAGCGUUAAUCGGAAUUAUUGGGUGUAAAGGGCUCGUAGGCGGGAGGUCAAGUCAAGGGUGAAAGCCCCGGGCUCAACGUGGGAACUGCCUUUGAAACUGGCAGACUGGAGUGUGUAAGAGGAUGGUGGAAUGCGAGGUGUAGGAGUGAAAUGCGUAGAUAUCAUGAGGAACAUCGGUGGCGAAGGCGACUGUCUGGCACGCAACUGACGCUGAGGAGCGAAAGCGUGGGUAGCAAACAGGAUUAGAUACCCGGGUAGUC